Molecule: transfer RNA, 73 nt
Filed under: Kwoniella dejecticola CBS 10117
Lineage: Eukaryota; Fungi; Basidiomycota; Tremellomycetes; Tremellales; Cryptococcaceae
Description: tRNA-Lys (TTT) (tRNA-Lys-TTT-1-1)
Rfam family: tRNA
About the family: Transfer RNA (tRNA) molecules are approximately 80 nucleotides in length.
Source: RNAcentral
GCCUCUGUAGCUUAGUCGGAAGAGCAUGUGACUUUUAAUCACAAGGUCAAGGGUUCGAGCCCCUUCAGAGGCU